AAUAGAUACCCGGGUAGUCCACGCCGUAAACGAUGAGUGCUAAGUGUUAGAGGGUUUCCGCCCUUUAGUGCUGCAGCUAACGCAUUAAGCACUCCGCCUGGGGAGUACGGCCGCAAGGCUGAAACUCAAAGGAAUUGACGGGGGCCCGCACAAGCGGUGGAGCAUGUGGUUUAAUUCGAAGCAACGCGAAGAACCUUACCAGGUCUUGACAUCCUCUGCCAACCCUAGAGAUAGGGCGUUCCCCUUCGGGGGACAGAGUGACAGGUGGUGCAUGGUUGUCGUCAGCUCGUGUCGUGAGAUGUUGGGUUAAGUCCCGCAACGAGCGCAACCCUUGAUCUUAGUUGCCAGCAUUCAGUUGGGCACUCUAAGGUGACUGCCGGUGACAAACCGGAGGAAGGUGGGGAUGACGUCAAAUCAUCAUGCCCCUUAUGACCUGGGCUACACACGUGCUACAAUGGAUGGUACAAAAGGGCUGCGAACCCGCGAGGGUAAGCGAAUCUCAUAAAAGCCAUUCUCAGUUCGGAUUGUAGG
RNAcentral lists this ribosomal RNA (531 nucleotides) under uncultured bacterium. RNAcentral describes it as "bacterial SSU rRNA". It matches the Rfam family "Bacterial small subunit ribosomal RNA", at positions 777 to 1304 of the family's 1533-position model. The record is from RNAcentral.